ACAUUAAUGUGCCAGUUCAACAACAUAGAUUUGGUUUAUUAACACAAUUACAGCUUUAAAUAUGUCUCAGGUCAGGUAUAAUCCUUAUUUUAAGAUGGGGGAUGUCUAGUACUCUCUGAUCUGUUUUGUUGGACUAGAUGGUGAUAUCCCUAGUAGCAUACUGAAGCCAAGCUGUGGGACGGUCGAGUGAGAGAUGGCAUCCUCCAGGUUAUCAAGUGGGCGCCCUCUUUCAUUGAUGUUUCGCAGAUAAAGCCACGACACCUCCAGAGAGUUCAGGGGUGAAUUCUGGCGUCCCAGGCUCACCCCCUAGAUGCCAUCGACUCACUUGAGGGCCCAGGUGACGUCCUUUCUUUACAUCCACAGCCACUGACUCCCCUUUUCUGUAGCCCUGGAGAGGCCUUGGACUGCCUUCCUAUGGGCCUUUCCUUGCACUCCCAUCUCUCCAGAUGAGACUAGAAACCCCUGCUGCCUACUUCCACCGGUGGGACCUUUGCUGUCCAGCCUCGAUCUUGCGCAUCGGCUGCCAGCUCAGCGUACUUCAGCUUUUUUCGCUCGAAGGCCUCCUCUGCUGCAUCCUCCCAGGGCACUGUGACUUUGAUGAUGUAGAUGAACUGGAGUGAGGCCGACCAUAGUACGAGGUCUGGUCUGACAUUGGUUGACGCAGUCUCAGCUAGGAAGCAGAGCCUCUGGUCUGCCAACAGCUUCCAGUCCUGUGCCCCACCUAGCUGUCCAGCGCCUGGUCUUGAAGUGGAGAGUCAGGCUUGGCCCUCACCUUCCUGGACAAAUGUCAGUCAGUGCUGGCCGUUGGGAUGAGGAAGGAGGGAGGGCGUUCACACUUGCCUGCUUGCCAGCACUGUUGCAAGACACUGCAACACCUGGUUGUGCUGCCAGGUGUAACAACCUUGACUAUCACUCCAUUAGUGCACGGUUGAUUAGUUGAUAUUCUGAAUUGCGGUUGCGUCAUCAAAUCAUCUGCACUGUGUUCCCCUCCCUCCACUCAACACUCUUCAAAGUGUGUUAAGUGUCGGGCGUGAACAGCCGUAAAACACCUGUCCUCUUUGAAAUCUCACAGUUUGACACAGCCGACUUCUCCACCUGCUAUCAGAGCUGCCAGGUCUCAUUAAAACCUCCACGUAUCUGUUUAAAACCUGAUCUGCCUGCUAAUUAUUACCUACGCGUUGCUGUUCACUUCGUAUCCUCUGAUCACAGGGAUUAUAUUUUACUAUUAGGAGUGAUUCAAUUCUCUGAACGUCUUUACAGGCAAUGAGCUUUAUUACAGUUACAGUUGCAUAUAUUUGCAUUAUAAAACCCUUAAUCCCUGCGCAUUUGGCCAGGAGUGCAUGGUAUAUAAUCCCCUCUCUGGGCAUGCUCUUAGACGCUUAUGGAGGUAUUUGGGGGAAAAUUAAGUGGACAAAUUUCCAUAUUUCAUACAGGAUGUGUGCCUCCUGUCCACCAUGGUGAUUGGUGCACAUGAGCCCACACACAACUACUUGUAAUGAUACAGGACUUCAUUUUAGUACCCUACAUAUUUUAAAAUACAGUACGAACCUAUUUAAAUACGAGACAGCACACAGGCAGCACCUGCAUUAGUUGUGAUGAAAAGUCUCCCACACUUGGUUAAUUAUGGUUUGUCAGGUUAAUUCAGACAAAAGCACGUACCUUGUUUAUCACAUCAUUAUCUUUACAUGCCCUUCGAACACAUCAGUGAUCAUAUAUUACCUUUUCCACUUUUCCUACAGUGUUUAAUCUAUCCUCUGAAUAAUAUGUAGCAGUCGCAGGAUGAGACAAAAGCCACCAGGCUGGACGCGCUCCGUUAAAGGCCUCUGCACCCAAGGGUGAUAUCGCAGGCGGUCACACCUGUCACUCGAUGAUUUAUUAUGCAAGAUGUGGGGAAUGUGGGCUUACUAUAUUCAGAUGAUAGUGGAGUAAAAUAUACAACAAGAUGUAAGAAAGGCACAAUGGAAAAUAGUCAUAAACUCCUGAAACUGCAGUCCAGUGAAAUGUUUCAUGAAAUUCAUAAAUUGUUCUCUUGGCUGCAAUUUUCUCACUGUGACAGUUUGGUGUUUAGGUUACAGUUUUCGGGGGUCAGUUUAAUGGGCAUCUUGCUGUUUGAGAUACUGUUUAGGUGAGGAGUGACAGUCAGAGUAAACCCUUUGAAAUUCAGCACAGCACUGAAACGCAUAACUGCUUCGAAAAAAAAAAAUCAAUGUAUUUUAGGGUCAGUUAUUAAAAACUGGUAAAGCUGUGUAAUCAACUUAUUUGUUUUCAUCAACAAAUCCAAAAAAAACAAAAUUUUGACAAGCACCACACAUGUGAUGUUUAAUUGUCACAGGCAGCUGCAAGGCAGAAAGGUUUCCAAAUUGUUUGAGUUGUGUGAGUGGAGCUGCUGUCCGCUGAUGCAAAUCAAUCCUUCUUCCAAACACCGGCACUGGUGAAGGGUACCUAUGGUGCAGAUAUGUCUAGUUGAGGUUAAUUGGGUCCUUUAACAGCUGGAGGCUGUAACUGGGGCUCACUGUAUCGGUUCCUUCAGCCAACCUUUUAUUCAGCUGCUGCCUUAGAGACAACUGAACAAAUGGACAAAUGGUAUCUUUGAAGUUGUAGGCAUGGAAAUGCUAUAGAAUUACGGUUGCAGAAAAAUUCCAUUCCAUGGUUUUACAUCACUGUAACCUAGAGACCUUUAAAAAAGGAAUUCAAAGAUUUUCUUCACUUGACCUCAAGGCAAAGAUUGUUCAUUUUGUUUGCUCCCUCUAGAGCUGUAACAGGCAGAUGUUGUUACCUCAUUAUAUGGAAAGUAUCAAUUCUCAUUUACUGACUUUCCUGUUGUCAGAAUUUCCCACCUUGUCAAACCAGAGAAAACAAUUCUCCCUCAGACUGUAUGCAACCCUCUGUGCCUAUACAUGAAUACUAACAAGACCAGCUUUCACAAAUAACCUAACAGGACCAGAUACGACUGCAUCAUAUUAUCUGUUUCAGUAUUCUGCAUGGAAAAUGGGAUGACAGUUCGUACUUGGCAACACUUCUCGAGAGUCGAUGUAGUCAACUAUAGUUUUUCCAUGCCAACGCUGGGAAAUUGGAGACGUACAGACAGUGAGGAUACCUUCCCUGUCUGUAUGAGACAAGAACGGACAUGACAAGAUAUUUGACGCUCAGGGGAAUGAGACCAUGCAGACCAUCAUGACUCCUGAUCCUUCAUCGAGAGUCCAGGUGUAGCGUGUCUAAAGGGUAAAGGUGCUAGACCUACAGGAAUUCUCAAUGCAGCAGUGGCACCACAAGCUGUCUGUCUUACACUGAUCCCUCUUACUAUCAUUGCUUUUGGUGAUGUCGCUCUUGGGUUAGUACCAUACCAGUACUUGUGACGGAGUGACUGGAUCCUGCGGGUCCUGGUGCCCACUCUGGGCAACAUCGACUGUGGUCUAUUGCCACAGUCGAUGUAGAAAGUAACAAAGCAGAACUGGCUGUCACGUCUCCUGCCUCGCACUGUGGUCUCGGUGCUGUAGGUCAACACAAUUGUGUCUGUUUCUGCUGCUCCACAACCAAAAUUGUCCUCCUUAAUGGCCGUGUGCAUCUCAUCACUGUGUAAGCCAUAGGUUGCUGAGUAUCUUUGAACACACGCCACCAGUCCCAGCUAUAGUGCUGAUGUGGCAGCGAACAGUAUAAAGCAAUUAGAGCUAUUUGAAAGCGAUUUCCUGACGUUGGUUGAGACGCUCAAGAAAACUCUGCAACAGCUUCAUGCUGGCUGAAGGGCUUCUUUAAUAGCAGUCAUGCUGACAAUUUGAAUGUAUCUUUUAGUCGAUCCUAAUGUCUGAGAAGAGAUGGCAUCCAUUUUUUAUAAGUCUCAUUCAAAGCUGUUAUCUUUUAUCAUGUGUGAAAUGGUAGAAUCACUGAAAUGGGAGAUCAAUCAUGGCCGAUGCCUCCAGGUGAGCUUGGAUCUCUUUUCCUUUUUCGCCUUAGUCUUGUUUAACCCAGAUGCUUUCAAAUCCAGACACACCCUGGAGCUGAUGCAUUUAAAUGUCAGUCGUCUGUGUAAUCAAUUUAAAAUUAGAACACCUGAGAAUUCUCGUUUCAAGGACUGACGCAAAUAUCCUGGUUCUGACAGAAACCUGGAGUAAACAGAGUCUAGACAGCGUUGGACGAGGAGAUGGUGUGGAUGUGUUUAUGAAGACAUGUUUAUCUGUCACUGUUUUAAAUGCUGUCACUGUACCUAAGGCUUAAGUUAACUCAAUAAUCCAAUUAUAGUGGUGGCUGUCAAUCUUCCUCAGCUGUCUUCAGUGCAAUUAAUAAAUUAGGGCACUUAUUUGCUUCGUGUAGAAACCCAGAGGUACUAGAUAUAUAGAUAGGUAUGUAGGUAGGUAGGUAUCACAGCUGAGUGAUAAGAUGACAAGAACUAUUUUGAAUGAUUAGAUUCUGCGCAAUAGGAGAAGUUUGUGCUUGGCCUGAGUGGAGCGAUAGACUGGAAAGAUCAAGCUGCAGGAUUAUCAUCAACAGACACUAUUGGCUGACGUUGACAAAAAACAUUUGCUGCAUAUAAUCAAUCUCAAUCAAUCCCAAUACAAACCUGUCAAAAUUUUGGAAGGUAAUAAAUGAAAAUGAUUAAAAAAAAAUCCUCCUUAUCUAUUCCUUCUCAUGUUAUGUUUAAUGAUUACAUAAGACCUGAGAGAAUUGCAAUGUUCUCAACAGUAAUCUGUUUGAUAUGGUGGAUCUGCUCUUAAGCCUUUGGCUCAUGUGCCCUGCUUACAGUGUAUUUCUCAGCUCACCCUCCAGGUCUUCACUUGCUUCAUUGUUGAGGAGGCACUUUAAGCUACAGUUUGCAGGGAAGCAACUGGGAGGAUAGACCAGUAGUUUUUUUGAAAGCUCUCUGCUCCAUCUUUUGCUGAACAAUUGCAUAUCUCUGUAAUUUUUUGAGUUCUGGAACACUUAUCCCUCUGGCCUGGAAAUCUGCACACGUAGUCCAACUGCAUAAAGGUUGUGGGGAAACAGAUCUUAACAGCCAAUUACCAAACCAUCCCCUCUUGCUCAAGUCCUGCAGUCAUUAAUUCAUAAUCAGCUGAAAAUCAUUCCUCUCAAAUUCUACAGCUCUGUAAAGCUUUGCUAACAAUGGACAAUCAGCCAUUGAAAUCAAGCCUUGGACAAAUUGCAAGAUGCACUGCGAGAUAUGAACCUAGCCAGUGAAUGCCAACACAACUUAACAUCUGCUUUUCUCUGGAGUGUAACAUACUGUUGACAAUGGUUUGUAUUUACCUCUCUAAAUGGACAUAGUAUACUGUAAAAGUCUAAAUUCAAUUGCUGCCUUAAAUAUUUAAGUUAAUCUCAUUUAGACUGAAUAGAAAAUUGAUUUUUUUUUCAUUUCUACACAAUUUCAAGUUAACUGAACUUGAUAAUACAUCUUCAGUUAGCUUACAAUAUUAAGUUAAAUCAAUGACAAUGGCAAUUAUUACAAUUAGAUUGAGGAGUCCAUUCAUCAUUUCAUAAUUUGCACAAAAACAUUAUGUAAACCAAUUCACAGUUAUUUUAUAAAAAAUGUAAAAGUUUGUUAAAAUAAAGAUUGAAUUCAGUACUAACCA
This is a long non-coding RNA of Acanthopagrus latus (yellowfin seabream), 5561 nucleotides long. RefSeq lists it as uncharacterized. The transcript has 2 exons. The record is from RefSeq and is a predicted model, not a curated record. NCBI's taxonomy places the organism in Eukaryota, Metazoa, Chordata, Actinopteri, Spariformes, Sparidae.